UUAAGAGAUGUGAUUUUGCCAUGUUUCCCAGGCAGGCGGAUCACGAGGUCAGGAGUUCGAGACCAGCCUGGCCAACAUGGUGAAACCCUGUCUCUAAAAAUACAAAAAUUAGCUGGGCGCAGUAGUGCGUGCCUGUAGUCCCAGCUACUUGGGAGGCUGAGGCAGGAGAAUCACUUGAACCCGGGAAGCAGAGGUUGCAGUGAGCCAAGAUCACACCACUGCUCUCCAGCCUGUGUGACAGAGUGAGAUUCCAUCUCAAAAAAAAAAAAAAAAAAAAAAAAUUGGCCAGGCAUGGUGGCUCACACCUAUAAUCCCAGCACUUUGGGAGGCCAAGGCGGGCAGAUCACGAGGUCAAGAGUUUGAGACCAGCCUGGCCAACAUGGUGAAAGCCUGUCUCUACUAAGAAUACAAAAAUUAGCUGAGCAUGAUGGCAGGCACCUGUAAUCCCAGCUACUUGGGAGGCUGAGGCAGGAGAAUUGCUUGAACCCGGGAGGUGGAGGUUGCAGUGAGCCAAGAUCGCGCCACUGUACUCCAGCCUGGGCAACAGAGCUAGGCUCCUCAAUCUAUAAUCUGCUUUUAUUACCCAAGUUUUAAAAGUCGUCUUUUCCUCUUCUAUGGGCAAAUAUAUAUUCCCAUAAAAAUAAGCCAAAAAAUGUUUAUUAAAAAUGCAAAACUUAUUUUAGGUUUGUUAGCUGACUUGUUUUAAUUGACUAGCUUGCUAAUGAGGGGCUACUUCACUCGUUUGGAUUACCCACACUUCUUUAGUGUCUUUCUCCUCUAGUGCUCUUUUAAGUAGCAGGGUUGUGUUUCAAAAGUUUUAGCAUUUGAGAGAAACUCAAUAAAUAGAAUGAGUUUUAAGGUGGUUUGUGCUGCUCCCAACUCAUGCUCAUAUCUGCCGUGCUUAUACCUCUGACUGUGAGCAUGAUUGGUCCACAGAUAAAAGUUUUACUGCACACAAAGUAUGAAGAGGAGGGGACAUCAGGGAGGGUUUGGAACAAAAGGAGGAAAGGGGAGAAUCCAGGAUUUAAAGAGUGGAUUUAAAAGGUGAGCAAGGUGAAAAAGAUAAAACAUGAAAAUUUUAAAGGAGGCAGAGAUUUAUGAGAAGAGUAAGGUUUAUUGAAAAGGAACAAAAGGUAAAGAAAGCAGAAAGAGAAAGCAAGUCCAGGAAGAAUGGGCGGGGUCAUGGUGAUUGAAUCUGUACAUGUGCUCCGCAUGGCUGUGUUCUGGCCUUGAAGGUUGGCUGAUGCUGCCAUCAGCACUUUCUUUGUCAGUAUCUGGAGUCUCACAAAGUAGCAAACCCCACAGGGUUACUUUCCUCUCUGACAGCAAUGCUGCCUAGAUGUGAGUGCUCAGGUUGUGGUUGGGGAUCAAGAACGGCUAGCAAAUCUAACUUGGUGAUGGAUUCUGUGUAACCCAGGACCUGGGGAAAUACAGGAACUAAAAUCUGUUCUUGUGACUAUUUGAAUUCUCAAUGCAGUCUUGCAUCCCUCGUUCAACUGCUUGGCCAGACUUCCUUGUACUGGGUGGGGAUCCCUCCCCACUCAAGUUCCACGGGGUGAGCGGAUGAGUGGUGUGUGAAAGGGCACACCUCACUUAGGUCUCCUUUGGCACCAGGGAGAGGAAACAGAGGUAAAGCUGUCUCUGUCUCUGCCUCAGACCCAUGCCUACUCCUUUGGCACUGGUCACUCAGCAGUAGAAUAGUAGUAUAGUAGUAGACGGCCCUAUCUGCAUAGUCACACACCUCGGGUUUUGAGCAUUGUGUAAUGACCAGAGUAAACUGGCCUGGCUGUUUGCCUCUGGUCCACAGCUCAGAUGAUCAUGGUGUACAGAGCCUGGUGGAACCCAGUUACAUCUCCACUGUUAUUUAAGGGCAAUUUAUUUGCUCUUCCUCAGAGUUCCCCUUUACAGUCUGCAGGCAAAUAUACAGAUACUUUAGUAAAUGUUUAUAGGAAGACCUGCUGGCAGAACUGGUCUCAUGGCUGCAGACUAUGAACAGAAGUUGUUUCUCCACUUUGGGAAAUUACAUACAGCUAAGAAUAAACUUGUUCACUCAGAAUAGAUUUUUGGAUCCCACACAUCCUGGAAAAAACUGUUUCUUAGUGCCUGUCUGUUAUUGAAAAGAGGACAUCUAAGGUAGAGAUUCAAUUCAUUUCAAAUUUUAGCUUAAUAAAGUAAAAAGAAAUGAUAGAGGUCUUUAAGGAUUCUGUACACUUUGAACACUGGCCACAGAGCUUACUUGGUAAGACUUGGUACCAAUGAAGUUACAGGUUCAUUCUCAAAAAGGGUGUCGUUCUGAGAGCAGAGCUUAGUGGACCCUGUGAGAAGUAUCAGGCCUUUCUACUUCAAGAGACUCAGAGAUCUCUUAGGCUUUAUGUCCUCCCAUUUGAAAGAAAUCAUCCCCUAAACGUUCCCAGAGGAGAGGAUAGGGAAGGAAGAGGCAAGGAGAUGUGACUGGCCCUAGGGAACAACUGUCUGCCCUCACUGUGUACGGGACAACCAAGUCCCAGGCCUCCUCACAGCGUUUUGCUGAUGAAUGUUGAGAGAGAACAUGGCACUCUACGUGAGAGGGCAGCACACACUGCACUGCCCCUCUCGGUACCCUGCCAGCUGUUCCUCCCCCUGAAGACACAGUGGGAGGUUUUAUGCUGGCUUGCAAAGCUGUCAAAAUUAUGCUAGAAGAGUGUCUAGAAUCUUUUCUCACUCACUCACUAUUACUGCCUUUUCAGAGGACUGUCCUUUCUUCUCUGUGUAGAGCACUCUAUUUAAGAUAUGAAUAUUCCCCAAAAUGCUUUCAUAGAGUUUCACAGAAAAUUAGAGGAAGGGUUAAGGCUGCACAGGGCUGGCCCAACCAUUUGCUGUGUGGUGAAGAAUUUCAGUUUCAUUACCUAGAUAUUUUACACAAAUUGGAAGGAAUGAAAGGCAUUUUGUGGUAUUCUGAGGAAUAGAGGCUUGACGUCAAUACAGAAUUUUCAUCUUCUUUCACUAUGUCUAAAGGCUAGUUAACAUCAAUGUCUGUUGUCAGCUGCUCCCCCCUACCUCCCACACACACCACAACUGGGGCCUUUAUUAGAGUAAAAAAUAUAUGAGACAAGAGGGUAAAAGAAUGUAAAUGAAGCCAUGCAAAUUUGUUAGAAAAACAGCUUUAAGUAGAUGGUAAUCAACAGAGGGUCUGUAAUAUCCCUCAAACGGGAAAGACAGUAUUUAUGAACAUCAAUUAUUUAUAGAUUACCUCAUUCACUCUAGAAUAUCCUGAAGAUAUUAUCUACACAUUUUUAUUUGAAACAAAGGGAAGACCAUAGUUUGUUCAAAUUGCUGUCGUGGGAUUAAUUUCAUUUGGGUUAGCAUCUGCUCUCCUCCCCAAAGAGUUUCCCUUGGCUGUGGAAAUUUAACAUUCCAGGACAAUUUAGAAAAUGCUCUCUUGGUUUGUGAGUCAGGAGUUCUGAGUUUGUGCAGUGAGCAGGUCUAUGCAGACCUACCCACAAAGGCUGAGGGAGCUGAAAAGCCAAAGAAAGAGGCUGACAAAUCCAGUUUCUCAGAAAGAAACAUUUAAUAAGAGCUUAUGAACAGAAGUGAUGUCUAGGAGGCCAUGAGACAGUGGAUCCCUGCACCAGCCCUCCAGAAAAUAUCCUUUAUAUAGCAAGGUUUUAGGAUAAAACAUGUGCAGCUAGUCACGCUUGACUUUCUUGCAAAACUUAUCACUGGAGCGAUUGGAUAAGCAUCUUUAUGAGGGGUUGUCUAUGCUCUGGGCACUACCCCUUUAUGAGGGAUAAUCUAUGCUACAGGCAUUGUUUAAAGACUUUGCUGCAGAACAAACCACCUUGGUAUGCAGGAGUCAAACCACCAGUUAGCAUGGUGGUUUCACUCCAAGAUGGCAUCACUCCUGCCAUGCAACAGGCUGUUUUCCUACAGUUUUAAUUCUAUUUCUGUUAUUGACUAUGUGAACUUUGAUAAGACCUGGUGUUUAACUUUCUACUUGGUAGGGGCAAAAUGGUGGGAGAAGGGGAAUGAAAAAAAAAAUCUCUUACUAACUGAAAAAAUAUACUGUGAAGAUAAAAAAUGUCUAACAUUGUCGUAUUGGCAGUGUUUUAAACAUGGCUGUGCCAAGUCUGAGCAUGCCAUGAAGGCAUGGGCAGGAUGUAUGCCAGGCCUGUGAUAAUGGUAGAGAUUUUUAGGCACUGACUAUGCUUCCUGUUGUCUGAAUAGACAUGGGGGCAAUUACAGAAAAGUGGCUGAGAGCCCAGGACAUAGAAAAUAAAGGGGAGGCACAGCCGCAGCCGCUGUGAGUUGGCAUUUUACCAUGUCGGGACCCUCUUGUCUUUAUGAAACUAGAAGGGGCCCUUAGGCAGCUGCUGCUGCAUAAACCUUAAAUAAUAUUGAAAAGGGUUGAUGUGAGAAAUGAAUAGGAAUAAUGGGACUCUGAUAGGUCUGGCUAGUUAGAAGCUCAAGGUUAGUCAAUUAUGUGAGCUAGCAAUCUAUUAACUUGAUGUUAAGGAGGAAGACAGACUUUUUGCUCCAUGUGGGUGAAGGCUCUAUUAAAGAGAGAGCCGAUGUGGGUCAGGUGUGGGAGGUAGUAAGCCACUAAAGAAUUGUUAAUGAGACACUCCUUGUGUGGGUGAAGGCUCAUAAAAGCUCGCUCUCCUGAGCUGGGAUAUGUUCCAGCCUCAGGUAGAUACGAGUGAGGCUGAUUUUGCCAUGAUUAGCAGAGUUACUUAA
Long non-coding RNA from Homo sapiens (human), 4713 nucleotides. The record is from Ensembl. NCBI's taxonomy places the organism in Eukaryota, Metazoa, Chordata, Mammalia, Primates, Hominidae.